Molecule: ribosomal RNA, 497 nt
Filed under: uncultured bacterium
Lineage: Bacteria
Description: partial 16S ribosomal RNA
Rfam family: Bacterial small subunit ribosomal RNA
Source: RNAcentral
GAUGAACGCUGGCGGCGUGCCUAAUACAUGCAAGUCGAGCGAACAGAUGAGGAGCUUGCUCCUCUGACGUUAGCGGCGGACGGGUGAGUAACACGUGGAUAACCUACCUAUAAGACUGGGAUAACUUCGGGAAACCGGAUCUAAUACCGGAUAAUAUAUUUAACCGCAUGGUUCAAUAGUGAAAGACGGUUUUGCUGUCACUUAUAGAUGGAUCCGCGCCGCAUUAGCUAGUUGGUAAGGUAACGGCUUACCAAGGCAACGAUGCGUAGCCGACCUGAGAGGGUGAUCGGCCACACAGGAAGAGAGACACGGUACAGAGUGCUACGGGAGGAAGCAGUAGGGAAUCUUCCGCAAUGGGCGAAAGCAUGACGGAGCAAAGCCGCGUGAGUGAUGAAGGUCUUCGGAUCGUAAAACUCUGUUAUUAGGGAAGAACAAAUGUGUAAGUAACUAUGCACGUCUUGACGGUACCUAAUCAGAAAGCCACGGCUAACUACGUG